Molecule: non-coding RNA, 378 nt
Organism: Drosophila melanogaster (fruit fly)
Lineage: Eukaryota; Metazoa; Arthropoda; Insecta; Diptera; Drosophilidae
Source: Ensembl
ACUUGGUCUAAAGAGUUGGCCAAACUUUCCAUUGCGAAAUCGCAGCAGUCGGAGAACCAUGAAGCUGACUUGCCGAAAUGUGCAACAUAACUCAAUUAGUGGAACAAGAGCACUGUACAAAACAGUAGGUUGUCGAAAUGACGCCUCAGCGAGCAUGAAAUUGGCCAAAAGGCCAAUGGAUAUAGGCCAGGCCCUUUCAUAUAUCAGUUUUACCCCUGCUUAUUUAGACCAGCGACUUAUUGGACUUAUUUAGCUACCAAAACUCGAUGUUAAACGACUUUUUUAAGCGCCGUUCCAAGGUGAACGAGCCACCCUGAACAGGGUCGAACUGGACAGUGUAUCUGUAUCUGAAUCUGUAUUUGUAUCUGCAAGUUCACU